CCUACGGGGAGCAGCAGUGAGGAAUAUUGGUCAAUGGACGAGAGUCUGAACCAGCCAAGUAGCGUGAAGGAUGACUGCCCUAUGGGUUGUAAACUUCUUUUAUAUGGGAAUAAAACGUUCCACGUGUGGGAUUUUGUAUGUACCAUAUGAAUAAGGAUCGGCUAACUCCGUGCCAGCAGCCGCGGUAAUACGGAGGAUCCGAGCGUUAUCCGGAUUUAUUGGGUUUAAAGGGAGCGUAGGUGGAUUGUUAAGUCAGUUGUGAAAGUUUGCGGCUCAACCGUAAAAUUGCAGUUGAAACUGGCAGUCUUGAGUACAGUAGAGGUGGGCGGAAUUCGUGGUGUAGCGGUGAAAUGCUUAGAUAUCACGAAGAACUCCGAUUGCGAAGGCAGUUCACUGGACUGCAACUGACACUGAGGCACGAAAGUGUGGGUAUCAAACAGGAUUAGAUACCCUUGUAGUC
RNAcentral lists this ribosomal RNA (460 nucleotides) under uncultured bacterium. RNAcentral describes it as "partial 16S ribosomal RNA". It matches the Rfam family "Bacterial small subunit ribosomal RNA", at positions 338 to 795 of the family's 1533-position model. The record is from RNAcentral.